This 253-nucleotide ribosomal RNA is filed under the name uncultured bacterium. RNAcentral describes it as "partial 16S ribosomal RNA". It matches the Rfam family "Bacterial small subunit ribosomal RNA", at positions 524 to 776 of the family's 1533-position model. The record is from RNAcentral.
UACGGGGGGGGCAAGCGUUGUUCGGAAUUACUGGGCGUAAAGGGCUCGUAGGCGGCCAACUAAGUCAGACGUGAAAUCCCCAGGCUCAACCUGGGAACUGCGUCUGAUACUGGAUGGCUUGAGGUUGGGAGAGGGAUGCGGAAUUCCAGGUGUAGCGGUGAAAUGCGCAGAUAUCAGGAGGAACACCGGUGGCGAAGGCGGGUCUCUGGACAGUUCCUGACACUGAGACACGAAGGCCAGGGGAGCAAACGGG